Homo sapiens (human) is the source of this 554-nucleotide long non-coding RNA. Ensembl annotates it as long non-coding regulator of POU2F2. Its record names the gene LNROP. The record is from Ensembl. Lineage: Eukaryota; Metazoa; Chordata; Mammalia; Primates; Hominidae.
GAGGAUGGGCCUGCCUGAGAGAGGAUAGAGGGGCAGAGUUUGGAACACACUGGCAGCUGGAACAGGGAGGCUCAAGGCAGGGGGAGAUGGUGGCCUCGUUGCCACAGAAGAGGCCUCGAGCCAUGCUGAGGGAGGCAGCUUGAUCUCUCUGUACUGAGCCAUGGAGCUCCUUCUUGGAGGCGUGAAAUGCUCCCCAUCCUUCAGGAGACAACAGCAACAGCCAGCCACUCCUUGUCCAGUCAGCAAUGCUGGAAUACCUCUGCAGCUCACAGUCCAACGCCCACAGCCUUCGAGUCAGUUUCUUGAUAUUCGGCAAUGCACUGGACUCCUGAUCCCAUCAGCUCCUGGCUGAAGGUGGGCCAACCCUUCCCCAUUUCCUUCAAUUCAAACAUUUCCUCAUGUCCCUCAGUGCCAAGCCCUGUGCUGGGAGCUGAGGACCCAGAGGUGAGCUAGAUCUAAAAUCUGACCUCAAGGAGCUAACAGUCUGAGAGGAAGACUGGAGUGGAUAAAAAUACCUUGGUAAUUUAUCACUUAAUAAAUAUCCAAUAAAUGCU